GACGAACGCUGGCGGCGUGCCUAACACAUGCAAGUCGAACGGAACUGUUUUGAAAGAUUUCUUCGGAAUGAAUUUGAUUUAGUUUAGUGGCGGACGGGUGAGUAACGCGUGAGUAACCUGCCUUCAAGAGGGGAAUAACAUUCUGAAAAGAAUGCUAAUACCGCAUGACAUAUCGGAACCACAUGGUUUUGAUCUCAAAGAUUUUAUCGCUUGAAGAUGGACUCGCGUCCGAUUAGUUAGUUGGUGAGGUAACGGCUCACCAAGACCGCGAUCGGUAGCCGGACUGAGAGGUUGAACGGCCACAUUGGGACUGAGACACGGCCCAGACUCCUACGGGAGGCAGCAGUGGGGGAUAUUGCGCAAUGGGGGCAACCCUGACGCAGCAACGCCGCGUGAAGGAUGAAGGUUUUCGGAUUGUAAACUUCUUUUAUUAAGGACGAAAAAUGACGGUACUUAAUGAAUAAGCUCCGGCUAACUACGUG
RNAcentral lists this ribosomal RNA (482 nucleotides) under uncultured bacterium. Its description in RNAcentral is "partial 16S ribosomal RNA". It matches the Rfam family "Bacterial small subunit ribosomal RNA", at positions 28 to 507 of the family's 1533-position model. The record is from RNAcentral.